CCAAGGUCAUAGAGCCAGUGGGUGGGGAGGCAGACCUUCAACUUGGGGCCAGAGACCCCCCAUUCCCAGGUCCCACCUGCCCCAGCUGGUGGCAUGUGAGUGUGUGUAUGUGUGUGGGGGCUGCUGACCGCCCGGCAGGUGCAGUCAGACCCAUCUGUGCGCCUGGCCUCCCGCUGCCCCUCGAUCUGCCCCCGUGGCCUGGCUCUGGCUGACGGCUCAUCUCCUCUUUUUCCUACAGCCUCCUGUGCCCACAGGCCCUGAGGCUCCCAUGCCAGCAGGGCAGAGAGGGCGACUGAGUCAAAUCCAGGCUGACCCCAGCCCACUUGUGUUCCCCAAACGCCUGCCUGACCGGAGGCUUCUGGGACCAGGCGAAGGCCGCAGAGGGACUUUGCUAACUGGAAGGAGCCCCAGGGAAGGCUGGGGCAUGUUGGACGGAGCGUCGUCCCAUUUUCAGGGGAAGCCCCCCCGGAGGCUCCGCGGGGCAGUGGGCCUCAAGCCCCUUCUCCUGAAGGAUUAGGUGGCGGUUCUGGUGCAGCCGAGGCUCGACCUACCCUGUCCUGCCACCCGGGAAGCUGGUGGGGCGUGGCGGGGAGCAGAUGGCUGGGUUCCCUUCUGGACUCCGGGCCUUGCUUUGAAGUCCGGUUAUCUCUAUCAGAAUAUUCCUGCUAAUCAGUCAGUUCUGGGUGGGUUGAGCAGCUAAUUAGCCCCUCUGCCUUAACCUGUAAUUACUGCCGGGAGCCCGGGAGCGGGGAUGUGGCCAGGGUUAUCUGCAAGGCUGCCAAGGGCGGUAGGAGGGCUGCGGGCAGGGGCGGCUGGGCCCUACCCGCAGGCUCGUCAGGGGCCACAGCACAGCACGCUGUCCGCUGCCCGGGGGGGGACCGUACCGGGCAGGGGUGGACGCGGGAGGUAAAGUGGGGUGCAGGCUGCUGCCUCAGCAGAGCUGGGGGGCUUAGCAGAGGGCCUGCCGGGGCUGAGCCCUGAAGGCUAAUGGAUUCUUUUAAAAUGUUCUAUUUUUCCG
This 1018-nucleotide long non-coding RNA is filed under the name Canis lupus familiaris (dog). RNAcentral's name for it is "lncRNA (ENSCAFG00845021070.1)". The record is from RNAcentral. Lineage: Eukaryota; Metazoa; Chordata; Mammalia; Carnivora; Canidae.